RNAcentral lists this transfer RNA (61 nucleotides) under Nymphon brevicaudatum. RNAcentral describes it as "tRNA-Val". The record is from RNAcentral. Lineage: Eukaryota; Metazoa; Arthropoda; Pycnogonida; Pantopoda; Nymphonidae.
UAAAAGCACCAAUUUGGAUAAAUUUUUUACAAAAAUUUAGAUCUAUUACUAGAGUUUUUAA